UCAUUGCUGGAACAAACGCCCUCACGGGUGCUACCCAGAAACCCCUUGUGAAUUAUACUUAAAAAACUGUUGCCUCGGCUUUUGGUUGGCUUCCUUUGGGAGUCCCUUCGCAAGAAGGAGCAGACCGGCCGGUGGCCCUAUAAACUCUUGUUUUUGUAACAUCAUCUGAGUAAAACAACUAAAUGAAUCAAAACUUUCAACAACGGAUCUCUUGGUUCUGGCAUCGAUGAAGAACGCAGCGAAAUGCGAUAAGUAAUGUGAAUUGCAGAAUUCAGUGAAUCAUCGAAUCUUUGAACGCACAUUGCGCCCGGUGGUAUUCCACCGGGCAUGCCUGUUCGAGCGUCAUUUCAACCCUCAAAGCCCUGGCUUUGGUGUUGGAGGAAUACCUGUUACAGGGUACCCUCUGAAAUUUAGUGGCGGGCUCGCUAGAAUUUUGAGCGUAGUAAUUUUACCUCGUUUUUAAAAGACUAGUGGGACUUUCUAGCCAUAAAACCCCCCCAACUUUCUGAAAUUUGACCU
Molecule: ribosomal RNA, 519 nt
Filed under: Cryptosporella betulae
Lineage: Eukaryota; Fungi; Ascomycota; Sordariomycetes; Diaporthales; Gnomoniaceae
Description: eukaryotic LSU rRNA
Rfam family: 5.8S ribosomal RNA (bases 192-345)
Source: RNAcentral